CACUAAUACCGGAUAAUGUAGUCUUCUUAAGUGAGGAUUACCUUAUCAGCUUGAGAGCGGCCUAUCUCCUAUCAGCUAGUUGGUGAGGCUCACCAAGGCAAUGACGGGUAGCGGGACUGAGAGGUUGACCAUCGGGACUGAGACACUGCCCGGACCUCCACGGAGGGCUGCAGUAACGAAUAUUGUGGGCGAAAGCCUGACCCAGCGACGCCGCGUGCGGGAGGAAGUUCAUGUAAACCGCUGUCAGGGAGAAGAAAGACCGUGAUCUAUCCCAGAGGAAGCAACGGCUAACUUCGUGCCAGCAGUAAUACGAAGGUUGCAAGCGUUGUUCGGAAUCACUGGGCUUAAGUAGGCGGAUGAGUAAGCGUUUUGUGAAAUCCCUCGGCUUAACUUGCUUGGCGAACUGCUCAUCUUGAGGCAAAUAGGGGUAC
This 431-nucleotide ribosomal RNA is filed under the name uncultured bacterium. RNAcentral describes it as "bacterial SSU rRNA". It matches the Rfam family "Bacterial small subunit ribosomal RNA", at positions 161 to 660 of the family's 1533-position model. The record is from RNAcentral.